GGGAUUUAUAUCAGACCCCAUCUGCCUCUACGAGCUCCUCGCCAGUAGAGCGAGAGCUUCGACAUCGCCGUCGACAACGCCAGGGUCCUCCAACUCCCCUCCCUCUGCCACCUCGACGCGCUACCUGUGAGCUUGUGCUCAUAUAUAGGAAUUCCAAUUGCAAGUCUGAUGACGACUAUUCACCGACUCCCGAAAAUUCGACGAUGACCACCUCACCAACUUCCUCCGGCGGCAGUCGAGAAUCACCUAGAUCCACUCCAGCAUCAAACGCUUAGAAACACGACAGAGGACAUGGAGCUGCUGACGAGCUUGUCGGUGUCGCCGCUUUAUCGUUUUUAUCACUGUGACGGAGGAGAGGGAGCGUGGGCUGGAGGCAGGGGAGGAGGCGGCAGCAAGCAAAAGCAGAGCCACAUUUGUGGCUAUCCGGGCUAUAGCCCGGGGGCCCAAUGGAGGUAGAAAAAAUCUACGUGGGGAAAAGGAAAAAAAAGAUAAGGUUAGUCCGGGUCGACAUCGACGAAAAGAGGAAGUUAGCCCAGGUGAUGACGUUGACAUCGGCGAAAAGAGGAGGAUAGUCAUAGAUGAUGAUAUCGACAUCGAUGGAAAGAGGAGGCUAGUCCAGGAUGACACCGUCAGCAAUCGACACUCAAGGCCCACAAU
This is a long non-coding RNA of Zingiber officinale, 657 nucleotides long. RefSeq lists it as uncharacterized. The record is from RefSeq and is a predicted model, not a curated record. The transcript is spliced from 3 exons. NCBI's taxonomy places the organism in Eukaryota, Viridiplantae, Streptophyta, Magnoliopsida, Zingiberales, Zingiberaceae.